Molecule: ribosomal RNA, 253 nt
Filed under: uncultured bacterium
Lineage: Bacteria
Description: partial 16S ribosomal RNA
Rfam family: Bacterial small subunit ribosomal RNA
Source: RNAcentral
UACGGGGGGGGCAAGCGUUGUUCGGAAUUACUGGGCGUAAAGGGCGCGUAGGCGGAAUGGCAAGUCGGUCGUGAAAUCCUUCGGCUCAACCGAAGAACGUCGAUCGAAACUGCCGUUCUUGAGGAUUGCAGAGGAGACUGGAAUUCCCGGUGUAGCGGUGAAAUGUGUAGAGAUCGGGAGGAACACCGGUGGCGAAGGCGGGUCUCUGGGCAAUUCCUGACGCUGAGGCGCGAAAGCGUGGGGAGCAAACGGG